RNAcentral lists this ribosomal RNA (401 nucleotides) under uncultured bacterium. Its description in RNAcentral is "bacterial SSU rRNA". It matches the Rfam family "Bacterial small subunit ribosomal RNA", at positions 340 to 738 of the family's 1533-position model. The record is from RNAcentral.
UACGGGAGGCAGCAGUGAGGAAUAUUGGUCAAUGGGCGAGAGCCUGAACCAGCCAAGUAGCGUGAAGGAUGACUGCCCUAUGGGUUGUAAACUUCUUUUAUAAAGGAAUAAAGUCGGGUAUGGAUACCCGUUUGCAUGUACUUUAUGAAUAAGGAUCGGCUAACUCCGUGCCAGCAGCCGCGGUAAUACGGAGGAUCCGAGCGUUAUCCGGAUUUAUUGGGUUUAAAGGGAGCGUAGAUGGAUGUUUAAGUCAGUUGUGAAAGUUUGCGGCUCAACCGUAAAAUUGCAGUUGAUACUGAAUAUCUUGAGUGCAGUUGAGGCAGGCGGAAUUCGUGGUGUAGCGGUGAAAUGCUUAGAUAUCACGAAGAACUCCGAUUGCGAAGGCAGCCUGCUAAGCUGCA